AGCAGCCGCGGUAAUUCCAGCUCCAAUAGCGUAUAUUAAAGUUGUUGCAGUUAAAAAGCUCGUAGUUGAAUUUCGGGAUCAAUGCGUCGGUCGUGCUUUCGGGUACGUGCUGGUGUCAUUGGUUUCUCCUUUCUGACGAGCCGUGAUGUCAUUAAUUUAGUGUUACGGGUAGUUAGGACUGUUACUUUGAAAAAAUUAGAGUGUUUAAAGCAGGCUCACGCUUGAAUACAUUAGCAUGGAAUAAUGAAAUAGGACGUAUGAUCCUAUUUUGUUGGUUUCUAGGAUUGACGUAAUGAUUAAUAGGGAUAGUUGGGGGCAUUAGUAUUCAAUUGUCAGAGGUGAAAUUCUUGGAUUUAUUGAAGACUAACUACUGCGAAAGCAUUUGCCAAGGAUGUUUUCAUUAAUCAAGAACGAAAGUUAGGGGAUCGAAGACGAUCAGAUACCGUCGUAGUCUUAACCAUAAACUAUGCCGACUAGGGAUCGGAUGAUGUUAAUUUUUUUAAUGACUCAUUCGGCGCCU
RNAcentral lists this ribosomal RNA (520 nucleotides) under uncultured Glomus. Its description in RNAcentral is "SSU rRNA". It matches the Rfam family "Eukaryotic small subunit ribosomal RNA", at positions 569 to 1088 of the family's 1831-position model. The record is from RNAcentral. Lineage: Eukaryota; Fungi; Glomeromycota; Glomeromycetes; Glomerales; Glomeraceae.